Molecule: long non-coding RNA, 992 nt
Organism: Paramacrobiotus metropolitanus
Lineage: Eukaryota; Metazoa; Tardigrada; Eutardigrada; Parachela; Macrobiotidae
Exons: 3
Source: RefSeq, a predicted model, not a curated record
GUAACAUAAUAAAAUAAAUUUGAUUUUUAUUUUGAAAAGUUCCGCUCUUUUUAUAUCCUGACCUUUGCUGUUCAUGAUAAUAGCAUCACAUGUUCGUCUGGCGUAGCUGCCAUCCUUUGCCAUUGACGCGUCCGUAUUGUGCGUUACAACCUACCUGAUGUACCUGAGCUUUAAAUAAACUCCACCGCCAAACAGCAUCACUUCGACCGUUAUUGUUGGAGCGACCACCAAACCAACGUCUACGGACGAAGACAUGGUGGACUCAAGACUACCGGAAGCGGCUACGACGUUUGCUGUGACAAUACACAUUAAGAACGUGAUGAGGAAUUUGUACCAGUUCCGAGCUAAUCCCACACCAACUGGAAAUUUACGUUGCUUUUGCUUCUAGCAUACAAUGGAAUUUACCUUUACCUGGACGUAAUAAACGUUUGAUUUUAGAACUCUUCCGAAAUUUUUAGCGUGGCUGCAGUGGUUUAGCUGGUUUCGAUAUGGAAAUGAAAUUCUGGGCAUUGUCCACUGGAAGGACGUUCAUAACAUCACUUGCAAUGGGAAGCUGGGACAUCGUGUAUAAAGACAGGAGCGGAGGUCAUGCAUGACUUUGAGUAUGACCCGGACAAACUAGAGCUGGAUUUGGGCAUGGUAUGCGUUGUAUUUGCCGGAUUCCAUAUACUAGGGUGCCUGUUUCUAUUUUUGCGAAAUCGUCGGUAAAGGUUGUUCUUACUGCUUGCUGUUCACAUGUAUCUGUACUGUCAUAAGUGUCAUUAGAACGUUGCCCUUCUGGAAGCAAAAAAUUGUCUGAAAAUUUAUUAAUUAUCACGGUACGAUAUGCUCGUAUAAUGUCGAAUACUGGCUUUCUGAGUGAUUUUUAUUUCAGUAAAUCACUUUGUAUGAGUUGUACAAAGCAUCCAUCGCAUGUAUGUUUGUGUCAACUUUGUUCUUAUCAGACAGUUGCCAAUGCAUAUUCGGUUGCCAAUAAAAAACAGCGCAGCUCG